RNAcentral lists this long non-coding RNA (204 nucleotides) under Physcomitrium patens. RNAcentral describes it as "long non-coding RNA (PPAT_LNC009667)". Lineage: Eukaryota; Viridiplantae; Streptophyta; Bryopsida; Funariales; Funariaceae. The record is from RNAcentral.
AAGAGAGAUUGAAAGAUAAAUACUUUGAUGAGCAUAGUGAAAAGAUGACAAGGAGAAGUUUCUUUGAUUGAGUGGAAUAAUAACCAAAUAAAAAUAUGGCACCAAAUGAAUUACUAAGGGAUUUUGAGAAGAGAUUUAAAUAACUCCUAUUAUCUAAGAAGCACCUUGUAGAAGUGAAGAAAUCAAAGUUAUUCUUGUAAGCUG